GGCUCGGCCUUACAAUAUAACAAACAAGUUUGACCUCAAAUCAGGUAGGAUUACCCGCUGAACUUAAGCAUAUCAAUAAGCGGAGGAAAAGAAACCAACAGGGAUUGCCUUAGUAACGGCGAGUGAAGCGGCAAAAGCUCAAAUUUGAAAUCUGGCACCUUCGGUGUCCGAGUUGUAAUUUGAAGAAGGUAACUUUGGAGUUGGCUCUUGUCUAUGUUCCUUGGAACAGGACGUCACAGAGGGUGAGAAUCCCGUGCGAUGAGAUGCCCAAUUCUAUGUAAAGUGCUUUCGAAGAGUCGAGUUGUUUGGGAAUGCAGCUCUAAGUGGGUGGUAAAUUCCAUCUAAAGCUAAAUAUUGGCGAGAGACCGAUAGCGAACAAGUACAGUGAUGGAAAGAUGAAAAGAACUUUGAAAAGAGAGUGAAAAAGUACGUGAAAUUGUUGAAAGGGAAGGGCUUGAGAUCAGACUUGGUAUUUUGCGAUCCUUUCCUUCUUGGUUGGGUUCCUCGCAGCUUACUGGGCCAGCAUCGGUUUGGAUGGUAGGAUAAUGACUAAGGAAUGUGGCUCUACUUCGGUGGAGUGUUAUAGCCUUGGUUGAUACUGCCUGUCUAGACCGAGGACUGCGUCUUGACUAG
This 633-nucleotide ribosomal RNA is filed under the name Debaryomyces hansenii. Its description in RNAcentral is "eukaryotic LSU rRNA". It matches the Rfam family "Eukaryotic large subunit ribosomal RNA", at positions 1 to 609 of the family's 3401-position model. The record is from RNAcentral. Lineage: Eukaryota; Fungi; Ascomycota; Pichiomycetes; Serinales; Debaryomycetaceae.